RNAcentral lists this ribosomal RNA (493 nucleotides) under Glomus sp. Its description in RNAcentral is "SSU rRNA". It matches the Rfam family "Eukaryotic small subunit ribosomal RNA", at positions 548 to 1047 of the family's 1831-position model. Lineage: Eukaryota; Fungi; Glomeromycota; Glomeromycetes; Glomerales; Glomeraceae. The record is from RNAcentral.
UUGGAGGGCAAGUCUGGUGCCAGCAGCCGCGGUAAUUCCAGCUCCAAUAGCGUAUAUUAAAGUUGUUGCAGUUAAAAAGCUCGUAGUUGAAUUUCGGGAUCAAUAUAUCGGUCGUGCCAUCGGUACGUACUGGUAUCAUUGGUUUCUCCUUUCUGACGAACCAUGAUGUCAUUAAUUUGGUGUUAUGGGAAGUUAGGACUGUUACUUUGAAAAAUUGAGUGUUUAAAGCAGGCUUUAGCUUGAAUACAUUAGCAUGGAAUAAUGAAAUAGGACGUUCGAACCUAUUUUGUUGGUUUCUAGGAUCAACGUAAUGAUUAAUAGGGAUAGUUGGGGGCAUUAGUAUUCAAUUGUCAGAGGUGAAAUUCUUGGAUUUUAUUGAAGACUAACUACUGCGAAAGCAUUUGCCAAGGAUGUUUUCAUUAAUCAAGAACGAAGUUAGGGGAUCGAAGACGAUCAGAUACCGUCGUAGUCUUAACCAUAAACUAUGCCGACU